UCUGGUGGCGAGUGGCGAACGGGUGAGUAAUAUAUCGGAACGUGCCCUGGAGUGGGGGAUAACUAGUCGAAAGAUUAGCUAAUACCGCAUACGAUCUAAGGAUGAAAGUGGGGGAUCGCAAGACCUCAUGCUCGUGGAGCGGCCGAUAUCUGAUUAGCUAGUUGGUGAGGUAAAGGCUCACCAAGGCGACGAUCAGUAGCUGGUCUGAGAGGACGACCAGCCACACUGGAACUGAGACACGGUCCAGACUCCUACGGGAGGCAGCAGUGGGGAAUUUUGGACAAUGGGCGCAAGCCUGAUCCAGCAAUGCCGCGUGAGUGAAGAAGGCCUUCGGGUUGUAAAGCUCUUUUGUCAGGGAAGAAACGGGUGAGGCUAAUAUCCUUGCCUAAUGACGGUACCUGAAGAAUAAGCACCGGCUAACUACGUGCCAGCAGCCGCGGUAAUACGUAGGGUGCAAGCGUUAAUCGGAAUUACUGGGCGUAAAGCGUGCGCAGGCGGUUGUGCAAGACAGAUGUGAAAUCCCCGGGCUCAACCUGGGAAUUGCAUUUGUGACUGCACGGCUAGAGUGUGUCAGAGGGG
This 579-nucleotide ribosomal RNA is filed under the name Mitsuaria sp. EECC-95. RNAcentral describes it as "bacterial SSU rRNA". It matches the Rfam family "Bacterial small subunit ribosomal RNA", at positions 84 to 659 of the family's 1533-position model. The record is from RNAcentral. Lineage: Bacteria; Pseudomonadati; Pseudomonadota; Betaproteobacteria; Burkholderiales; Sphaerotilaceae.